GACGGAGGGUGCUAGCGUUGCUCGGAAUUACUGGGCGUAAAGGGCGCGUAGGCGGUCUGUUAAGUCCGGUGUGAAAGUCCCCGGCUCACCCGGGGAAGUGCGCCGGAAACUGGCAGACUAGAGUACCGGAGAGGAGGGUGGAAUUCCUGGUGUAGCGGUGAAAUGCGUAGAUAUCAGGAGGAACACCGGUGGCGAAGGCGGGUCUCUGGGCCGAAACUGACGCUGAGGAGCGAAAGCGUGGGGAGCAAACAGG
RNAcentral lists this ribosomal RNA (253 nucleotides) under uncultured bacterium. RNAcentral describes it as "partial 16S ribosomal RNA". It matches the Rfam family "Bacterial small subunit ribosomal RNA", at positions 524 to 776 of the family's 1533-position model. The record is from RNAcentral.